Molecule: long non-coding RNA, 522 nt
Filed under: Mustela putorius furo (domestic ferret)
Lineage: Eukaryota; Metazoa; Chordata; Mammalia; Carnivora; Mustelidae
Description: lncRNA (ENSMPUG00000025647.1)
Source: RNAcentral
GUCUCCCAGUACAGUGACUUCAUGCCUUAUUGAUGUCGGGCUGGACUCUGGGGUUUGUUUGUUAAUGGAACAUUCGUGAACGUCACCGAAGCAGAGGCUUUAAAUGUGCUUGCAAGGUCUGGCGUGGCUUCCUGGACCUCAGUCGUGUGCCAGGAGAAACUGCUGGUCCAAGCGUAAGAGACACAGGGAGCUGACCUGAACCGGACCCACAGCCUGAAGCAGAACCACUCCAGUGGUUAUGCACAAGACUUCUCUCCCCAGGAGACAGUUACAAGACAAUUGGACCUAAAGAUCAUUUGAGACUCACUGAGGAGGCUGCAUUCAAACCCUUUCUCCCCAGCACCUAACCAGUGCUCAUGGGCCAACUAUGAGUGUUCCUGCUGGGCCCGGGAGACUUCUGGGCCCCAGGAGAGACCUGACUUGGAGAUACCAAGUACCCAGGAGAACUGUCCAUCAUGAACCGAGUAUUAUCUUCUCUACCAAACUACAAAAUGAAACACGUCUAAAAUAAAAUAUUUUUUU